CCGCUGUGAAAAUAGAAGUGUUAGUUCACCGUACUGUUUGAUUGAACUUCAGUAUGGGCAAAACGAGUGAUUUAAGCGAUUUUGAGCGUGGUAUGAUCGUCGGUGCUAGACGCGCUGGUGCCACUGUCUCAGAAACGGCUGCUUUACUGGGUUUUUCACGCACAACAGUGUCUAGGGUUUAUAGAGAAUGGUGCAACAACCAAAAAACAUCCAGUCAGCGGCAGUCCUGUGGGCGAAAACAGCUUGUUGAUGAGAGAGGUCGAAGGAGAAUGGAAAGAAUCGUGCAAGCUAACAGCCAGGCCACUUGCAAGCAAAUAAUGGCGCAGUACAACAGUGGUGUACAGACAGGCAUUUCGGAACGCACAACUCGUCGGUCCUUGUCACGGAUGGGCUAUUACAGCAGACCACCCCGGGUCGUCUCACUAUCAUCUGAAAACAAGAAACAGCUCGAGGAGGACUCUGUCUGUCUGACUAGGGAGGAGACGGAAAUUAGUCUAAUCCAAUAGGAGGAAUUGCUGUUACCACCCAGAAGACCAAGCACUUUCAAGAGUUGAAAGUUGUAUUCAAUCUAAAGUUGUCAGUCAUGUAAUUGGUUUAAAUAUCUGCAGCUGUAGGCCAAAUAAAAAGGACAAUGAUGUUUGUUUGUUAUAGCAUGAAUAAAAAACUUCACUGGAAGUUGUUAUUUUAUAUUUUUAAUCAAGUAAAACCAAAUUGAACUCGAAUAUUGAUGUUGUGUGGAAGACUGUUAUAAUCAGUAUUGUUGAAUUUGGAUUCUUCCCUACCAUUUAAUCUCACGGUUGUUUUGAUAAAAAUAGGAGAUUUUCGCAUUCUUAACAUUCUUCUUCAUAUGUUAUUGAAUAGAUUCAGCAAAACAAGUUUUCCUUUGUAGAGAGUUUUGCUGAUGGGAUUGUAGUGAUUCUUUCACCUGGAUCAUUUCAAUAUUAGGCCUACAGGUUGUUAACCAAAAAGUAUGUUUCAUCUAAAUCAAAUAAGUUGUUUUAUGCUUUUACCACCCCAUAUGAUCUGUAAAGUAUGCUUGUUAUUACAGAAGUUGAAAAUAAUUUCACUCUUAAACUUAACCUGUAGAUAAUGUGAACAUGUAUACCUGUAUGUACUGUAUAUUCAGUUGCUAUAACUGUGAGUGGCACACAUCCUGUUUUAUUGGGUAAGCUAAGUCUGUUUAUGUUGCAUUUUAACUAAAGGUAGCCUAAAACACUUUUAGUUGCAUCUCCUAAAAUAUCCAUGGAAUGACGUGAGAACUUAAUGUUUCAUUAUAGUUUAUAUUUAGUGAUUUUUAUGCUUAAGGUUAAUACAUGACCUUUUUGAAGGAGCAUGUCAAGUUGAGCACGAGUUGACAAAACAAAGCAUCAAGGACUCCAUGUAUAGCAUGAACAAUACAGUGAAAUAAUUUAUGCUGUCUUAAAAUUUUUAAUAUGUCAAUUAUUUGUAUGAUGUUCAUAAUAAUUAAAUGCAUUUUUGGCAG
Esox lucius (northern pike) is the source of this 1483-nucleotide long non-coding RNA. RefSeq lists it as uncharacterized. NCBI's taxonomy places the organism in Eukaryota, Metazoa, Chordata, Actinopteri, Esociformes, Esocidae. The transcript has 2 exons. The record is from RefSeq and is a predicted model, not a curated record.